UGGGGAAUUUUGGACAAUGGGCGAAAGCCUGAUCCAGCAAUGCCGCGUGUGUGAAGAAGGCCUUCGGGUUGUAAAGCACUUUUGUCCGGAAAGAAAUCCUUGGCUCUAAUACAGUCGGGGGAUGACGGUACCGGAAGAAUAAGCACCGGCUAACUACGUGCCAGCAGCCGCGGUAAUACGUAGGGUGCAAGCGUUAAUCGGAAUUACUGGGCGUAAAGCGUGCGCAGGCGGUUUGCUAAGACCGAUGUGAAAUCCCCGGGCUCAACCUGGGAACUGCAUUGGUGACUGGCAGGCUAGAGUAUGGCAGAGGGGGGUAGAAUUCCACGUGUAGCAGUGAAAUGCGUAGAGAUGUGGAGGAAUACCGAUGGCGAAGGCAGCCCCCUGGGCCAACACUGACGCUCAUGCACGAAAGCGUGGGGAGCAAACAGGAUUAGAUACCCUGGUAGUCCACGCCCUAAACGAUGUCAACUAGCUUGUUGGGGAUUCAUUUCCUUAGUAACGUAGCUAACGCGUGAAGUUGACCGCCUGGGGAGUACGGUCGCAAGAUUAAAACUCAAAGGAAUUGACGGGGUCAUAGCUG
This 580-nucleotide ribosomal RNA is filed under the name uncultured bacterium. Its description in RNAcentral is "partial 16S ribosomal RNA". It matches the Rfam family "Bacterial small subunit ribosomal RNA", at positions 355 to 932 of the family's 1533-position model. The record is from RNAcentral.